GACGAACGCUGGCGGCGUGCUUAACACAUGCAAGUCGAACGGAAAGGCCUCUUUCGGGGGGUACUCGAGUGGCGAACGGGUGAGUAACACGUGAGUAACCUGCCCUUGACUUUGGGAUAACUUCAGGAAACUGGGGCUAAUACCGGAUAGGAGCUCCUGCUGCAUGGUGGGGGUUGGAAAGUUUCGGCGGUUGGGGAUGGACUCGCGGCUUAUCAGCUUGUUGGUGGGGUAGUGGCUUACCAAGGCUUUGACGGGUAGCCGGCCUGAGAGGGUGACCGGCCACAUUGGGACUGAGAUACGGCCCAGACUCCUACGGGAGGCAGCAGUGGGGAAUACUGCACAAUGGGUGGAAGCCUGAUGCAGCAACGCCGUGUGCGGGAUGACGGCCUUCGGGUUGUAAACCGCUUUCGCUCAUGACGAAGCUUUGUGUGACGGUAGUGGGUAAAGAAGCACCGGCUAACUACGUG
This 467-nucleotide ribosomal RNA is filed under the name uncultured bacterium. RNAcentral describes it as "partial 16S ribosomal RNA". It matches the Rfam family "Bacterial small subunit ribosomal RNA", at positions 28 to 507 of the family's 1533-position model. The record is from RNAcentral.